Molecule: ribosomal RNA, 447 nt
Filed under: uncultured bacterium
Lineage: Bacteria
Description: bacterial SSU rRNA
Rfam family: Bacterial small subunit ribosomal RNA
Source: RNAcentral
UGGGGAAUAUUGGACAAUGGGCGAAAGCCUGAUCCAGCCAUGCCGCGUGAGUGACGAAGGCCUUAGGGUUGUAAAACUCUUUCGUCGGGGACGAUAAUGACGGUACCCGAAGAAGAAGCUCCGGCUAACUUCGUGCCAGCAGCCGCGGUAAUACGAAGGGAGCUAGCGUUGUUCGGAAUCACUGGGCGUAAAGCACACGUAGGCGGAUAGUUAAGUCAGGGGUGAAAUCCUGGGGCUCAACCCCAGAACUGCCUUUGAUACUGGCUGUCUCGAGGUCGAGAGAGGUUGGUGGAAUUCCUAGUGUAGAGGUGAAAUUCGUAGAUAUUAGGAAGAACACCAGUGGCGAAGGCGGCCAACUGGCUCGAUACUGACGCUGAGGUGCGAAAGCGUGGGGAGCAAACAGGAUUAGAUACCCCAGUAGUCCCUGAGCGGGCUGGCAAGGCGCAU